RNAcentral lists this ribosomal RNA (3028 nucleotides) under Salmonella enterica subsp. enterica serovar Montevideo str. CDC 07-0954. RNAcentral's name for it is "bacterial LSU rRNA". It matches the Rfam family "Bacterial large subunit ribosomal RNA". Lineage: Bacteria; Pseudomonadati; Pseudomonadota; Gammaproteobacteria; Enterobacterales; Enterobacteriaceae. The record is from RNAcentral.
GGGUUGUGAGGUUAAGCGACUAAGCGUACACGGUGGAUGCCCUGGCAGUCAGAGGCGAUGAAGGACGUGCUAAUCUGCGAUAAGCGCCGGUAAGGUGAUAUGAACCGUUAUAACCGGCGAUUUCCGAAUGGGGAAACCCAGUGUGACUCGUCACACUAUCAUUAACUGAAUCCAUAGGUUAAUGAGGCGAACCGGGGGAACUGAAACAUCUAAGUACCCCGAGGAAAAGAAAUCAACCGAGAUUCCCCCAGUAGCGGCGAGCGAACGGGGAGGAGCCCAGAGCCUGAAUCAGCAUGUGUGUUAGUGGAAGCGUCUGGAAAGGCGCGCGAUACAGGGUGACAGCCCCGUACACAAAAGCGCAUAUGCUGUGAGCUCGAUGAGUAGGGCGGGACACGUGGUAUCCUGUCUGAAUAUGGGGGGACCAUCCUCCAAGGCUAAAUACUCCUGACUGACCGAUAGUGAACCAGUACCGUGAGGGAAAGGCGAAAAGAACCCCGGCGAGGGGAGUGAAAAAGAACCUGAAACCGUGUACGUACAAGCAGUGGGAGCCCCACCACUAAGCCAGUGGUGAACUCCACAUACGCAUCCUUUGCUGAGGAUACGGUUAACGGAGCGAAAGCGACGUUCAACCGCAAAAGAAGCAGAGGGGGCUUAGUGGUGGGGUGACUGCGUACCUUUUGUAUAAUGGGUCAGCGACUUAUAUUCUGUAGCAAGGUUAACCGAAUAGGGGAGCCGGAGGGAAACCGAGUCUUAAUUGGGCGUUAAGUUGCAGGGUAUAGACCCGAAACCCGGUGAUCUAGCCAUGGGCAGGUUGAAGGUUGGGUAACACUAACUGGAGGACCGAACCGACUAAUGUUGAAAAAUUAGCGGAUGACCUGUGGCUGGGGGUGAAAGGCCAAUCAAACCGGGAGAUAGCUGGUUCUCCCCGAAAGCUAUUUAGGUAGCGCCUCGUGAAUUCAUCUCCGGGGGUAGAGCACUGUUUCGGCUAGGGGGCCAUCCCGGCUUACCAACCCGAUGCAAACUGCGAAUACCGGAGAAUGUUAUCACGGGAGACACACGGCGGGUGCUAACGUCCGUCGUGAAGAGGGAAACAACCCAGACCGCCAGCUAAGGUCCCAAAGUCAUGGUUAAGUGGGAAACGAUGUGGGAAGGCCCAGACAGCCAGGAUGUUGGCUUAGAAGCAGCCAUCAUUUAAAGAAAGCGUAAUAGCUCACUGGUCGAGUCGGCCUGCGCGGAAGAUGUAACGGGGCUAAACCAUGCACCGAAGCUGCGGCAGCGACACUCAGGUGUUGUUGGGUAGGGGAGCGUUCUGUAAGCCUGCGAAGGUGGCCUGUGAGGGUUGCUGGAGGUAUCAGAAGUGCGAAUGCUGACAUAAGUAACGAUAAAGCGGGUGAAAAGCCCGCUCGCCGGAAGACCAAGGGUUCCUGUCCAACGUUAAUCGGGGCAGGGUGAGUCGACCCCUAAGGCGAGGCCGAAAGGCGUAGUCGAUGGGAAACGGGUUAAUAUUCCCGUACUUGGUGUUACUGCGAAGGGGGGACGGAGAAGGCUAUGUUGGCCGGGCGACGGUUGUCCCGGUUUAAGCGUGUAGGUGUGUGUUCCAGGUAAAUCCGGUUCACUUUAACACUGAGGCGUGAUGACGAGGCACUACGGUGCUGAAGCAACAAAUGCCCUGCUUCCAGGAAAAGCCUCUAAGCAUCAGGUAACAUCAAAUCGUACCCCAAACCGACACAGGUGGUCAGGUAGAGAAUACCAAGGCGCUUGAGAGAACUCGGGUGAAGGAACUAGGCAAAAUGGUGCCGUAACUUCGGGAGAAGGCACGCUGACACGUAGGUGAAGUGAUUUACUCAUGGAGCUGAAGUCAGUCGAAGAUACCAGCUGGCUGCAACUGUUUAUUAAAAACACAGCACUGUGCAAACACGAAAGUGGACGUAUACGGUGUGACGCCUGCCCGGUGCCGGAAGGUUAAUUGAUGGGGUCAGCGCAAGCGAAGCUCCUGAUCGAAGCCCCGGUAAACGGCGGCCGUAACUAUAACGGUCCUAAGGUAGCGAAAUUCCUUGUCGGGUAAGUUCCGACCUGCACGAAUGGCGUAAUGAUGGCCAGGCUGUCUCCACCCGAGACUCAGUGAAAUUGAACUCGCUGUGAAGAUGCAGUGUACCCGCGGCAAGACGGAAAGACCCCGUGAACCUUUACUAUAGCUUGACACUGAACAUUGAGCCUUGAUGUGUAGGAUAGGUGGGAGGCUUUGAAGUGUGGACGCCAGUCUGCAUGGAGCCGGCCUUGAAAUACCACCCUUUAAUGUUUGAUGUUCUAACGUGGACCCGUAAUCCGGGUUGCGGACAGUGUCUGGUGGGUAGUUUGACUGGGGCGGUCUCCUCCUAAAGAGUAACGGAGGAGCACGAAGGUUGGCUAAUCCUGGUCGGACAUCAGGAGGUUAGUGCAAUGGCAUAAGCCAGCUUGACUGCGAGCGUGACGGCGCGAGCAGGUGCGAAAGCAGGUCAUAGUGAUCCGGUGGUUCUGAAUGGAAGGGCCAUCGCUCAACGGAUAAAAGGUACUCCGGGGAUAACAGGCUGAUACCGCCCAAGAGUUCAUAUCGACGGCGGUGUUUGGCACCUCGAUGUCGGCUCAUCACAUCCUGGGGCUGAAGUAGGUCCCAAGGGUAUGGCUGUUCGCCAUUUAAAGUGGUACGCGAGCUGGGUUUAGAACGUCGUGAGACAGUUCGGUCCCUAUCUGCCGUGGGCGCUGGAGAACUGAGGGGGGCUGCUCCUAGUACGAGAGGACCGGAGUGGACGCAUCACUGGUGUUCGGGUUGUCAUGCCAAUGGCACUGCCCGGUAGCUAAAUGCGGAAGAGAUAAGUGCUGAAAGCAUCUAAGCACGAAACUUGCCCCGAGAUGAGUUCUCCCUGAGACUUUAGGUCUCCUGAAGGAACGUUGAAGACGACGACGUUGAUAGGCCGGGUGUGUAAGCGCAGCGAUGCGUUGAGCUAACCGGUACUAAUGAACCGUGAGGCUUAACCUUACAACGCCGAAG